RNAcentral lists this ribosomal RNA (325 nucleotides) under uncultured bacterium. Its description in RNAcentral is "bacterial SSU rRNA". It matches the Rfam family "Bacterial small subunit ribosomal RNA", at positions 19 to 332 of the family's 1533-position model. The record is from RNAcentral.
UUGGCUCAGAACGAACGCUGGCGGCGUGCCUAAUACAUGCAAGUCGAGCGAAUGGAUUAAGAGCUUGCUCUUAUGAAGUUAGCGGCGGACGGGUGAGUAACACGUGGGUAACCUGCCCAUAAGACUGGGAUAACUCCGGGAAACCGGGGCUAAUACCGGAUAACAUUUUGAACCGCAUGGUUCGAAAUUGAAAGGCGGCUUCGGCUGUCACUUAUGGAUGGACCCGCGUCGCAUUAGCUAGUUGGUGAGGUAACGGCUCACCAAGGCAACGAUGCGUAGCCGACCUGAGAGGGUGAUCGGCCACACUGGGACUGAGACACGGCCC